ACCAUUGAGGACCUGCGGGACAAGAUUCUUGGUGCCACCAUUGAGAACUCCAGGAUUGUCCUGCACAUCAACAAU
Molecule: non-coding RNA, 75 nt
Organism: Pongo pygmaeus (Bornean orangutan)
Lineage: Eukaryota; Metazoa; Chordata; Mammalia; Primates; Hominidae
Source: Rfam